This is a long non-coding RNA of Loxodonta africana (African savanna elephant), 2395 nucleotides long. RefSeq lists it as uncharacterized. Lineage: Eukaryota; Metazoa; Chordata; Mammalia; Proboscidea; Elephantidae. The transcript is spliced from 3 exons. The record is from RefSeq and is a predicted model, not a curated record.
GUCCUUUGGACCCAGGACCUGGGCUGAGAAGCUCCUGGAAGCGGGAGACAGAGAGAGAGAGCUAUAACCCUGAAGCUGGUGAGAAGUGGUGACAGGAGAGACCCAGCAGCGGGAGACAGCAUGCAGUGGGCUUCCUGGCUCACAGAGAGAGAAAGCUGAGUGCCCUUGGACAGAGGCCAGGGCCAGGGAGAGGCGUGCCUGAGAGCACAGCUAGGAAGAGCCUCCUGAUGGAAGAACUGUAUCCUGAGUGUUCCUGGGCCUGAAUCGUAACCUAUUACUUCCCUAAUAAGCCCCAUAAUCAUGAGUAUGGUCUGCGAGUCUUGCGUGGCCAUUGCAAUGAAUUAUUGAACCCAGCAGAGCCGUAUAGAGUGCUGUGGGAGGGACGGUUGGUGUCAGAAUUGGUAAAGAUGGCAGAAAGAGGAAGGAUGUGUAGCUUUCACCUCACGGAGUCAGGCUUAUGCUGUUGAUCUUGGUUCUCCUUCCGCCUUGAGGACUUGGAGGAGGUCAGACACUGCCCUCAAGCUCUCUUUAUACCUGCUCACUAGAAUCUAAGAUCCAGGUGGGUGGUGUCUGUUCUGUUCGCUGCCAUGUCCUCAGUAUCUAGAGUGCUACGUGAUGCAUAAUCCAAACCUGCUGCUCUCUAGUCGAUUCCAACCCACAGCGACCACACAGGAGGGAAUAGAACUGCCCCAUAGAGUUUCCAGGGCUGCAGGCUUUACAGAAGCAGACUGCCACAUCUUUAUCCCAUGGAGCAGCUGGUGGGUUUGGACUGCUGGCCUUUUGGUCAACAGCCAAGAACUUAACCACUGUGCCGCCAUGACUCCUAUUAGUACAUAGUAAAAAAAAAUUCUCAAAAAUAUGUAUAUUACACAUGGGGGGGGUGGAACUUUUUGUAUCCCUGUCUCCCUCCUUCCUGUACCAGAGGUACAUACUCUUACUAAUUUGCUAAGUCUCCUUCUAGUCCAUUUUUCACACACACCAAAAUACACACUCAUGUAUAUGUAAACAAGAUAGGAUAUUGUUUUAUACGGAUUUAUACUUUUUGUAUAAGGGGCCCUGGUGGUGCUGUUGUUAAGCACUCAGCUACUAACCGAAAGGUUGGCAGUUCAAAUCCACCAGCCAGCUCGGCCAGAAAGAUGUGACUGUCUGCUUCCGUAAAGAUGUAUAGCCUUAGACACCCUAUGGGGGCAGUUCUACUCUGUCCUACAGUAGCUGUGAGUUGGAACCUGCUUGACAGCAGUGGGUUUUGAUUUAUACUUUUUAUAUAAAUAGUAGCAUAUUGUACAUAUCUUUGCAACUUUCUCACUCCACUUUGUACUUGUCUAGUUUGUCCAUUUCAGCAACUGCAUAGAAUUGAGUUGUAGGGAUCCCCUCACUUUAUUGAUGGACUUCUAGUCUGUUGCCAGUUAUUCUCUGUUGCAAACAUCACUCAGCCCUACCCUGAUCCAGGAACCUUUUCUCUGAGGCACAUGACCCCACCUCCCUAGGAAGGCUGCUGCUUCAUCCUGGGCAACUGGGGCAGGAUGCCACUGGCUGUCAUGGGAGGAACACUGGUGGGCUGGAAGAUCUGAUGUUUAUGUGGGACUCUGUCACCCCUUGCUGUGUGACUUCCCCAGCCUGGGCCUUAGUAUCUAUUUGUAAAACUGAGGGCUCUGUUUGACUGGUGGGUUUUCCACCUGAGUUCCCUAGAGCCUCAGGAUUCUACCGAGGGGCCCGGGGUCAGAAGUUGUCCAGAAUCAGCCAGGACAGAGGAAUUUUGAUCGGUGGGCUUUGUAGGUGGCUGUCUGUCCAUCUGUUUUUUCCACCAGCAUCUCUUCACCCUUCUGGGAAAACACAUGUGGUGGAAUUUCCUCUGGGAAGACCCCCUCACCCUAUCUUCUGCUCAGGGGGCCUCUAGAGUGAACCCUGAGUCUGAGCUAGUUAGCAUAGCCCAUCCCCUUUGCUACCAUGAUUGGUUCAGAGAUGAUCAUGUCACCCAAUUUGAGCCAUUGAGACUCAGGCCCAGGACUUCUGUCCAACCCUCUCUGGGUGGAAUUUGAAGGUGAGAGGAUGUAAGUGCAGGAAGAGUUGCAGCCAUCUUGCAGCCAUGAGGGGAAGAUGCAGAGGUUCUGGGAGCCACCAGAUGUGGCAGCUGAGAGAUUUCCCAGAAAGCCUCUCCCCUGCACCUUGCGUACCUAAAGCGGGAAACCGCCUCAGCUUUGCCAAGGACUGUGUCAUCCCCUGGGAAGAUGGUGGCAGAAUAUUGGCGAGGCAGGAGAUGCCAGCGUAGUCUCAAGUGUCCACCUGAUCCAAGAAGCUCACUCCUCACCAGCAUCCCUCUCCAACCCAUUGUCCAGUCCAAUCCACGUCUGAAGAGUUGUCUUCGGGAAUGGUUCCUGUCCUGGGCCAACAGAAG